RNAcentral lists this ribosomal RNA (468 nucleotides) under uncultured bacterium. RNAcentral describes it as "partial 16S ribosomal RNA". It matches the Rfam family "Bacterial small subunit ribosomal RNA", at positions 28 to 507 of the family's 1533-position model. The record is from RNAcentral.
GACGAACGCUGGCGGCGUGCUUAACACAUGCAAGUCGAACGGAAAGGCCCUGCUUUUGUGGGGUGCUCGAGUGGCGAACGGGUGAGUAACACGUGAGUAACCUGCCCUUGACUUUGGGAUAACUUCAGGAAACUGGGGCUAAUACCGGAUAGGAGCUCCUGCUGCAUGGUGGGGGUUGGAAAGUUUCGGCGGGUGGGGAUGGACUCGCGGCUUAUCAGCUUGUUGGUGGGGUAGUGGCUUACCAAGGCUUUGACGGGUAGCCGGCCUGAGAGGGUGACCGGCCACAUUGGGACUGAGAUACGGCCCAGACUCCUACGGGAGGCAGCAGUGGGGAAUAUUGCACAAUGGGCGGAAGCCUGAUGCAGCAACGCCGCGUGCGGGAUGACGGCCUUCUGGUUGUAAACCGCUUUCGCCUGUGACGAAGCGUGAGUGACGGUAAUGGGUAAAGAAGCACCGGCUAACUACGUG